AAUACAAAGAAACACUGGAAGUUUGUUUUACCCACAUGUGGACCGGGACGGCAACUAAAGGCCAGGGAGAAAAAAAGCGGAUUAAGGAUUUGAUUUUUAAUUGGAACUGCAUGAAGUUGCUCUGCAUGAAGACAACAGAUAAAAAGAAAUGGACUGGAUGUUUAGAGGAACUUUUUUUCACGAGGAUGCUGCACCAGCUGCCCCCCAAAAAGUUGCGGAGGUGAUUCCUUUGUUUGGACGAAGGGCUUUGUGAAGAGGACACAGUCAGGCACGACCUGAAAGUCUGUACAAGUGGAAUAAAAAGUAGAAAACAUUGUUUAAAAACUUGUUUUCAGUUGAAUCGGCUUGAGCUGAAGCUUUAUUUGAUUAGUAAAAUGCAUCGUAGCGUAUUAACGAUGUUUGAAGAUCUGCAACGCGGGUUUCUAUUAUAGUUUUGGAGGAUUUAAAGCUUCCAUAGACUGCCUAUGAAAUUCACCACGACCAGGAUCUUAUAGUUUACAUUUUUUCAGUAAGUUAGGAGCAACAGGUAGCCUACUUUUGGUUGAUUUGGCUGUUUUAGUUUGAUUGUCAGUUUAUCACACAAACAUCUGAAUAACCACUGACUCACGGCAAUGUUCCAGCGUUUGUUUGGAAAAAAACGCGGAUUUACAACCUAAUUAGGCGAAAGCAGAAUCUUUAUUUGCAAUACCAUCACAUGGAUAUACGGUGCGGUUGAGGGCAUGACUUUUUACUGUGUGAGUUCCAGACACAACAGAGGGACGGAGCUGCGGCCGAUCCGUCACAACUUCCUCUACAUUGUUUUACUCUGAGACUGGACACCUCCACUGACAGACGGAUGACUCUGUCUUCUGGGUCAUUGUAUCCAGAUCCUACCUGGAAUCCUUGGGCAGAAGGCCAGAAGACCCCCUGGAUGUAGCUUUAUUUGCCUUAAACACUGUUAAGCAUAACCUUCCACCAUCAUCAUCAUCAUCAUCAUCAUCAUCAUUUCUCCUGUCUGCUAACUAAACAAUGUAUUAUGUAUAUGUAUUAGAGCUUUCAACAUUAAAGCAUUAACACACUGAUUCAUUUUGAAUCACUAGCAUGUUAUUAUUUUUUUAAAUGUAAGUUUAUUGCGUCCAAGUUUGACACCAAAUCCCGUGGUAAUCUGCCCUGCCCAACACAUGGAUUUUCUUGUGGCUAAAUGACACAAAAAGACAGAGCAUUUAUUUGCAGAAAAUGAGAAAUGGUUAAAAUAACAAAAAAAGAUGCA
This 1249-nucleotide long non-coding RNA is filed under the name Astyanax mexicanus (Mexican tetra). RNAcentral's name for it is "lncRNA (ENSAMXG00005020753.1)". The record is from RNAcentral. Lineage: Eukaryota; Metazoa; Chordata; Actinopteri; Characiformes; Acestrorhamphidae.